This 455-nucleotide ribosomal RNA is filed under the name uncultured Glomus. Its description in RNAcentral is "SSU rRNA". It matches the Rfam family "Eukaryotic small subunit ribosomal RNA", at positions 569 to 1030 of the family's 1831-position model. The record is from RNAcentral. Lineage: Eukaryota; Fungi; Glomeromycota; Glomeromycetes; Glomerales; Glomeraceae.
AGCAGCCGCGGUAAUUCCAGCUCCAAUAGCGUAUAUUAAAGUUGUUGCAGUUAAAAAGCUCGUAGUUGAAUUUCGAGAUCAAAUUGUUGGUCGUGCCUUGGUACGCACUGGCAUUAUUGGUUUCUCCCUUCUGACGAACCAUGAUGUCAUUAAUUUGGUGUCUUGGGGAAUCAGGACUGUUACUUUGAAAAAUUAGAGUGUUUAAAGCAGGCUCACGCUUGAAUACAUUAGCAUGGAAUAAUGAAAUAGGACGUUUGAUUCUAUUUUGUUGGUUUCUAGGAUCGACGUAAUGAUUAAUAGGGAUAGUUGGGGGCAUUAGUAUUCAAUUGUCAGAGGUGAAAUUCUUGGAUUUAUUGAAGACUAACUACUGCGAAAGCAUUUGCCAAGGAUGUUUUCAUUAAUCAAGAACGAAAGUUAGGGGAUCGAAGACGAUCAGAUACCGUCGUAGUCUUAAC